AAAGGUGUGGGUAAUCUUGUUAAACUAUGUCGUGCUGGGGAUAGAGCUUUGCAAUUUUUGCUCUUGAACGAGGAAUUCCUAGUAAGCGCGAGUCAUCAACUCGCGUUGAUUACGUCCCUGCCCUUUGUACACACCGCCCGUCGUUACUACCGAUUGAAUGGCUUAGUGAGGACUCUGGAUGCGCAUUCAAGAGAGGGCAACCUCUCUAGAUGUACAGAAACUGUUCAAACUUGGUCAUUUAGAGGAAGUACAAGUCGUAACAAGGUUUCCGUAGGUGAACCUGCGGAAGGAUCAUUAU
This 298-nucleotide ribosomal RNA is filed under the name Wickerhamiella kurtzmanii. RNAcentral's name for it is "Wickerhamiella sp. UFMG-CM-Y6199 partial small subunit ribosomal RNA". It matches the Rfam family "Eukaryotic small subunit ribosomal RNA", at positions 1536 to 1831 of the family's 1831-position model. Lineage: Eukaryota; Fungi; Ascomycota; Dipodascomycetes; Dipodascales; Trichomonascaceae. The record is from RNAcentral.